GAUGAACGCUGGCGGCGUGCCUAAUACAUGCAAGUCGAGCGAACAGACGAGGAGCUUGCUCCUCUGACGUUAGCGGCGGACGGGUGAGUAACACGUGGAUAACCUACCUCUAAGACUGGGAUAACUUCGGGAAACCGGAGCUAAUACCGGAUAAUAUAUUGAACCGCAUGGUUCAAUAGUGAAAGACGGUUUUGCUGUCACUUAUAGCUGGAUCCGCGCCGCAUUAGCUAGUUGGUAAGGUAACGGCUUACCAAGGCAACGAUGCGUAGCCGACCUGAGAGGGUGAUCGGCCACACUGGAACUGAGACACGGUCCAGACUCCUACGGGAGGCAGCAGUAGGGAAUCUUCCGCAAUGGGCGAAAGCCUGACGGAGCAACGCCGCGUGAGUGAUGAAGGUCUUCGGAUCGUAAAACUCUGUUAUUAGGGAAGAACAAAUGUGUAAGUAACUAUGCACGUCUUGACGGUACCUAAUCAGAAAGCCACGGCUAACUACGUG
This 497-nucleotide ribosomal RNA is filed under the name uncultured bacterium. RNAcentral's name for it is "partial 16S ribosomal RNA". It matches the Rfam family "Bacterial small subunit ribosomal RNA", at positions 28 to 507 of the family's 1533-position model. The record is from RNAcentral.